RNAcentral lists this small nuclear RNA (165 nucleotides) under Tupaia belangeri (northern tree shrew). RNAcentral's name for it is "U1 spliceosomal RNA (ENSTBEG00000018291.1)". It matches the Rfam family "U1 spliceosomal RNA". Rfam says of the family: U1 is a small nuclear RNA (snRNA) component of the spliceosome (involved in pre-mRNA splicing). Lineage: Eukaryota; Metazoa; Chordata; Mammalia; Scandentia; Tupaiidae. The record is from RNAcentral.
AUACUUACCUGUCAGGGGAGAUAUUGUGAUCACAAAGGUGGUUUUCCAAGGGCAAGGCUUAUCUAUUGCAUUCCAGAUGUGCUGACUCCUGCGAUUUCCCCAAAUGUGGGAAACUCGAUGGCAUAAUUUGUAGUAGUGCGGGGACUGUGUUCAUGCUCUCCUCUG